GUACCUGUGUCAGUGUGUCUGUCAGUGUAUGUGCCUGUUUAUCUGUAUGUAGUCAGUGUAUGUAUCUGUGUAUCUGCUUGUGCGUCAGAGUGUGUACCUGUGCAUCUGAGACGCAACUUUAAAUACAAAUACACCCCUCCAUUCAAACUUCAACACUACAUAUAAAACACACUCCUGCAUUGAAACGUCAACACUACAUACAAGCACACUCCUAC
This is a non-coding RNA of Pelobates cultripes (western spadefoot toad), 215 nucleotides long. The record is from the annotation of a GenBank genome assembly. NCBI's taxonomy places the organism in Eukaryota, Metazoa, Chordata, Amphibia, Anura, Pelobatidae.